Molecule: ribosomal RNA, 491 nt
Filed under: uncultured bacterium
Lineage: Bacteria
Description: partial 16S ribosomal RNA
Rfam family: Bacterial small subunit ribosomal RNA
Source: RNAcentral
GAUGAACGCUGGCUACAGGCUUAACACAUGCAAGUCGAGGGGAAACGACGGGGAAGCUUGCUUCCCCGGGCGUCGACCGGCGCACGGGUGAGUAACGCGUAUCCAACCUGCCUCUGACUGAGGGAUAACCCGUCGAAAGUCGGCCUAAUACCUCAUGGUAUCGUCUGCGGGCAUCCAACGACGAUUAAAGAUUUCAUCGGUCAGGGAUGGGGAUGCGUCUGAUUAGCUUGUUGGCGGGGUAACGGCCCACCAAGGCUACGAUCAGUAGGGGUUCUGAGAGGAAGGUCCCCCACAUUGGAACUGGGACACGGUCCAAACUCCUACGGGAGGCAGCAGUGAGGAAGAUUGGUGAAUGGGCGAGAGCCUGAACCAGCCAAGUAGCGUGCAGGAAGACGGCCCUAUGGGUUGUAAACUGCUUUUAUGCGGGGAUAAAGUGAGGGACGUGUCCCUCAUUGCAGGUACCGCAUGAAUAAGGACCGGCUAAUUCCGUG